This 252-nucleotide ribosomal RNA is filed under the name uncultured bacterium. RNAcentral's name for it is "partial 16S ribosomal RNA". It matches the Rfam family "Bacterial small subunit ribosomal RNA", at positions 524 to 776 of the family's 1533-position model. The record is from RNAcentral.
UACGUAGGGGGCGAGCGUUGUCCGGAGUUACUGGGCGUAAAGGGCGUGCAGGCGGUGCGGUAAGUUUAGCGUGACAGUCUCCGGCUUAACUGGAGAAGGCCGCUGAAAACUGCUGGACUUGAGGGCCAGAGAGGGACAUAGAAUUCCGGGUGGAGUGGUGAAUGCGUAGAUAUCCGGAGGAAUACCAAAGGCGAAGGCAGUGUCCUGGCUGGCACUGACGCUGAGGCGACGAAAGCUAGGGGAGCGAACAGG